This 445-nucleotide ribosomal RNA is filed under the name uncultured bacterium. Its description in RNAcentral is "partial 16S ribosomal RNA". It matches the Rfam family "Bacterial small subunit ribosomal RNA", at positions 354 to 796 of the family's 1533-position model. The record is from RNAcentral.
GUGAGGAAUAUUGCGCAAUGGAGGCAACUCUGACGCAGCCAUGCCGCGUGCAGGAAGAAGGCGCUACGCGUUGUAAACUGCUUUUAACCGGGAAGAAACCCCAGGACGUGUCCUGGGUUGACGGUACCGGAGGAAUAAGCACCGGCUAACUUCGUGCCAGCAGCCGCGGUAAUACGAAGGGUGCAAGCGUUAUCCGGAUUCAUUGGGUUUAAAGGGUGCGUAGGCGGAGCGUUAAGUCAGUGGUGAACUCCUGCAGCUUAACUGUCGACUUGCCGUUGAUACUGGAGCUCUUGAGUGCGCUUGAAGUGGGCGGAAUGUGCCGUGUAGCGGUGAAAUGCUUAGAUAUGGCACAGAACACCAAUUGCGAAGGCAGCUCACUAAGGCGAUACUGACGCUGAGGCACGAAAGCGUGGGGAUCGAACAGGAUUAGAUACCCUUGUAGUCC